UACGUAGGGGGCAAGCGUUAUCCGGAUUUACUGGGUGUAAAGGGAGCGUAGACGGCUAUAUAAGUCAGAUGUGAAAGCCCAGGGCUCAACCCUGGGACUGCAUUUGAAACUAUGUAGCUAGAGUGCAGGAGAGGUAAGUGGAAUUCCUAGUGUAGCGGUGAAAUGCGUAGAUAUUAGGAGGAACACCAGUGGCGAAGGCGGCUUACUGGACUGUAACUGACGUUGAGGCUCGAAAGCGUGGGGAGCAAACAGG
This 253-nucleotide ribosomal RNA is filed under the name uncultured bacterium. Its description in RNAcentral is "partial 16S ribosomal RNA". It matches the Rfam family "Bacterial small subunit ribosomal RNA", at positions 524 to 776 of the family's 1533-position model. The record is from RNAcentral.